AUUGAAUGAAUGGAGAAUGGGUUGUUCUCCUUCUCGUACAUCUGAAUCGGACGGAAGAAAGAUUCACAUUAAUGGUAUGAAUUUGUUGUUGUUUAGUGUUUUUGUGUUGUUUUUAGCUCACCUGUCCCGAAGGGACAAGUGAGCUUAUGCCAUCACUUGGCGUCCGUCGUUGUCUUCUCGUCGUCUCGUUCUGUCGUCGUAAAUAUUUCAAAAUCUUCUCCUCUGUACUAUGGGCCAAAUACUUUCAACUUUAAUGAUUGUUCCUUAGGGAUCUAAUUUAUAAAUUGUAUCGAAUUUUGUCUAUCAAAAACAUGGCCGCCAUGCUAAAAAUAGAACAUAGGGGUAAAUGCAGUUUUUGGCUUAUAACUCAAAAACCAAAGCAUUUAGAGCAAAUCUGACAUGGGUAAAAUGUUUAUCAGGUCAAGAUCUAUCUGCCCUGAAAUUUUCAGAUGAAUCAGACAACCUGUUGUUGGGUUGCUGCCCCUGAAUUGGUAAUUUUUAAGGAAAUUUUGCUGUUUUUGGUUAUUAUCUUGAUAUUAUUAUAGAUGAGAUAAACUGUAAACAGGAAUAAUGUUCAGCAAAGUAAGAUUACAAAUAAGUCAACAUGACAAAAUGUCAGAUUGACCCCUUUAGGGGUUAUUGCCUUUAUAGUCAAUUUUUAAACAUUUUUCGUAAAUUAGUAAUCUUUUACAAAAAUCUUCUCCUCUGAAACUACUGGGCAAAUUAUUCCAAACUUUGGCAUUGAAUGUUCCUUAGGGUAUCUAGUUUAAAAAUGUGUCGAAUGACCUGAUCAAUCAAAAACAUGGCGCCAUUGCUAAAAAUAGAACAUAGGGGUAAAAAUGCAGUUUUGGCUUAUACUCAAAAACCAAAGCAUUUAGAGCAAAUCUGACAGGGUAAAAAUGUUUAUCAGGUCAAGAUCUAUCUGCCCUGAAAUUUUCAGAUGAAUCGGACAAUUGUUGUUGGGUUGCUGCCCCUGAAUUGGUAAUUUUAAGGAAAUUUUGCUGUUUUGGUUAUUAUCUUGAAUUUAUUAUAGAUAGAGAAAACUGUAAACAGCAAUAAUGUUCAGCAAAGUAAGAUCUACAAAUAAGUCAACAUGACAAAAUGUCAGUUGACCCCUUAGGAGUUAUUGCCCUUUAUAGUUCAAUUUUUAACCAUUUUUCUAAAUUAAAGUAAUCUUUUACAAAAAUCUUCUCCUCUGAAACUACUGGGCCAAAUAUCCAAUUUAACUGAAUGUUCCUUAGGGUAUGUAGUUUGAAAAAUUUUAUCCGGUUAUGAUCUCAACAACAUGGUCGCCAUUGCUAAAAAUAGAACAUAGGGUAAAAUGCAGUUUUUGGCUUAUAACUCAAAAACCAAAGCAUUCAGAGCAAAUCUGACAGUGGGUAAAUGUUUAUCAGGUCAAUUUCUAUCUGCCCUGAAAUUUCAGAUGAAUCAGACAACCUGUUGUUGGGUUGCUGCCCUGAAUUGUAAUUUUAGGAAAUUUUGCUGUUUUUGUUUAUUAUCUUGAAUAUUAAUUAUAGAUAGAAAUAAACUGUAAACAGCAAUAAUGUUCAGCAAAGUAAGAUCUCAAUAAGUCAACAUGACCAAAAUGUCAAUUGACCCCUUAAGGAGUUAUUGCCUUAAAGGGGUCCUUUAGGGGCUAAAUGAGGAGGGGGGGGGAACAUAGGGGGGGGACGGGGGAGAGGGGUGAGCGAUUCAGGCUCUUGAGAGCCUCUUGUUCUAUUAUAAGCUACAUGUAUAAGGACCAAACAUCUUUGAAUGGGGCAUUUGAUUUUCGAUAAAUUGAUUGAAGCUUUUUAUUCAAUUUUUAGAAAAAUGAAGGAAAUUAUUUGUUAUUCAAAAUAACUUCAUUUUGUUACAAAGUAUAACAGUAACAUAAACAGGUAGUGUGAAAAUAAUGUUUAUUUAAAAAAAAUCUUUUUUCAUUAUGUAAUGAUUUUUUUUUUCAAUUACUGUUUUCCUAGAAAAAAAAAGAUAUGAUUGAUAUUGAUAUAUAACCUGCCUUAUUUUUACACUGCAUAACUUAACCCUGCAUUAUACAAGACAAAAUCAUCAUAUAGUUCUAUUAAAAACCAUGUGACAUGUGACAAAGUUUUUGAUUGGCUAUAAGACAAUGGAUUACGUCUGCUGUCAAUUACAUGGUUGUUUACACUGUAUGUGGAUACAUAACUAUUUCCACAUAACUAUUUCCGUACAGUAAUUUUUUUAUAAAGCUGUCAAUUUCUCAAACACAUGAAUUUAAAGAACAUUUUGAUUCACCAUGCAUGAUAGCUGAUAUAAGGGUUAUGACCUUUUAACUUAACCAAUCAUAUACUGAGAUUAUUUGUUGUACCCAUACAUUGUACUUGAUUAUUUUUUUUAAAACAAUGAGUUCAAUAAAAUGGGUUUCAAAAGAAUAAGAGACCAUAUAUGUCAUGUAUGUACAUACAUUUGUUACUACAACAUGUAGCCGAAAUCAAAAAUAGUCAUUUUGAACUUAUUUUGCACUUAAUUGACCAAAUAGUAGAUAAUAUUUUAAUUUCUAUGUUAGUAUUCAAUUAUAGUAUUGCAAAUUAUCCAAGUCUCAAAGGCAAGACUUAUAUGCAUGUGCAGUUUCAGACAGUGGUGUCAACAAUGUAGAACUAUUAAUUUGUAAUUAGGUCAGUAUAAGGGGUCCAAAAACUUACUAAGAAGUUAUGCUCAGUGAUAUUUGGUAUAUAUAUAUAUAUAUAUAUAUGCAUCAGCUUUUUUCCAGAAGACUCAGUUUAGUGACACUAAUAUAUACUUACUUAUAUACUUACUUAGUCCUUGCUAUGCCUUAUGGCACAUAGGGCAAAAGACAAUGAUACUAGCUUAAUACUUAUAGUUUGACUUGGUUUGAACAAAAAAUUCUGACCACCCUGAUGAUCUGUAUCUCUUGCUUAGGUGAAACUCUUUUAGUAGAUUUUUACAUCUUUACCUCUUAGAUUACACCAAUGAAGUAUAAUAAAUUUAUUCAAGCUUUCAUAUCAUUUCCUAUUGAAGGUCUGGCCACCAUGAAAUAGCCCAAUAGCAGUGCUUGAAAGUGGCGUUAAAACACCAAAAAUCAAAAUCAAAUCAAGCUUUGUGUGUACAACAGGUUCAUUUUCUUUUUUUAGCUAUUUAAAAUUUUUUGCGUCAUUUCAUCGACGUUGUCUGAAGACGCAUUUAGUGUCCGGACAAUUACUUUAGUUUUAGUGAAUGGAUCUUUAUAAAUUUUUACAAGAAGGUUCAAUACCACUAAAGGAAGGUUGGGAUUGACCUUGGGGUUUAUGGUCCCAAUAGUUUAGGAAUUAGGGGCCAAAAAGGGGGCAAAAAUAAGCAUUUUUGUAGUUUUCAAACAAUAACUUAUUUUUAAGUGUAUGAAUCUCUCUGAUAUUAUAUCACAAGUUUCCAUGCCAUGAAGGGGUGGUAAGUAUUGUCUUUGGGGGUUAUGGCUCAAAUUAUUUUGGAAAUAGGGGCAAAUAAAAGGGGAAAAACUAGGUUUUAUCUGGUCAAUGGACAUUUAAGACAAUUUAAAAGCAGUGAAAGAUAGGUACAUGUAAUUCAAAAACAUUUAACAUACAAUGUUGGGUAUGAUUGGAUUUACCUCCCUUACACUACUUGUAAAUUAUAUAUACAAAAAUGUCAGGUUUUGGACUAAUUGCAAAAAAAGGGGGUGUUAAGGAAGUAGUUUUCACUUUUAUCUUUUUCCAAAUUUCUCAAAUUCCUCAAAGUUUGAAGAAGAAAACUUUAAUUGCACAAUAGAUUUGUAAGAUCGGGACAUUUGUUUUGUGUCAUAAACCCAAAGUAUGUCACAAAUUUGAUCAGAAUCCAAAUUCAGAGCUGUACCAAGCCUGAAUGUUGUGUCCAUACUUACCCCAACUGUUCAAGGUUUGACCUUGGGGUCGUAUAAAGCUGCGCCCUGUGGAGCACCUGGUUAUCAAUGUUUUUUAUUACUACUGUAACAGUUCUCUUCAGAUUGUAUAUAUUCAGUAACAUUUGGGUCUCAGUGACCUUAAUUUCAUGAAACAGAGACUUAAUUUAAGUUUUAUGGUUGUGAAUUUAUCUAGAAUCUUCAUUUCUGGGUUGAUAUAUAAAUAUAUAGGUUUAUAGUAUGAGUUUAUUUUCAUUGUAGAAUAUGCAUGAUUCCAGUGAAGAUUGUUUCCCUUGGAUUGAUGUUGUAUGUUGAUUAUCUACCCUGAUAUGAUACAGAUUACCUUUAACUUGAUGUUGUAUGUUGAUUAUCUCCCCUGAUAUGAUACAGAAUACCUUUAACUUGAUGUUGUAU
RNAcentral lists this long non-coding RNA (4264 nucleotides) under Mytilus galloprovincialis (Mediterranean mussel). Lineage: Eukaryota; Metazoa; Mollusca; Bivalvia; Mytilida; Mytilidae. The record is from RNAcentral.